CAGCAGCCACGGUAAUACGAAGGGUGCAAGCGUUAAUCGGAAUUACUGGGCGUAAAGCGUGCGUAGGCGGUUUGUUAAGUCUGCUGUGAAAUCCCCGGGCUCAACCUGGGAAUGGCAGUGGAUACUGGCAAGCUAGAGUGUGUCAGAGGAUGGUGGAAUUCCCGGUGUAGCGGUGAAAUGCGUAGAGAUCGGGAGGAACAUCAGUGGCGAAGGCGGCCAUCUGGGACAACACUGACGCUGAGGCACGAAAGCGUGGGGAGCAAACAGGAUUAGAUACCCCAGUAGUCCCUGUCUCUUAUAA
RNAcentral lists this ribosomal RNA (301 nucleotides) under uncultured bacterium. RNAcentral describes it as "partial 16S ribosomal RNA". It matches the Rfam family "Bacterial small subunit ribosomal RNA", at positions 509 to 809 of the family's 1533-position model. The record is from RNAcentral.